AUCUGGGAAGGGAAGGAAAAAUAUAAAAAUAUAUGGGAAAGCACUUUGAGUUAAUCAUUUUCAGUUGGCCAUUGGCCAUCAGAGCUUAUGGAGAAGAGCAAUGAGAAGAAACCCACAGAGGAGGAAAAUACAGAGAUAAACAGAAAACUUCAUUUAAUAGAAUCUCACUGAAUUUUGCUGAGACCUGGGAAGGAGGAGCGCCUGCCAGGUCUUGAGAGCGCUGCAAAAAGGAGGAAGUUAUAGAAUUCUCACCAGGAAUUGUUCACAAAGCAGGAAGCCAUGAUUGUAACUGCCGGGAAAAACCUCACCUCUCUGAAAUAAAUGCUGGCAGCCAUUAAAGAUCCAUUUAAGAAAAACACGAA
Long non-coding RNA from Myotis daubentonii (Daubenton's bat), 362 nucleotides. RefSeq lists it as uncharacterized. The record is from RefSeq and is a predicted model, not a curated record. NCBI's taxonomy places the organism in Eukaryota, Metazoa, Chordata, Mammalia, Chiroptera, Vespertilionidae.